AUAGAACAAAACAAUGACGGAAUCGGCUCGUUACCCAAAGCCCAAUUUCUCUUUCUCCUCCUUCCUUUCCUUUCCUCUGUAGAACUUUUUUUAAUUUGCUUUUGAUCAAUUCCUGCCCAGAGCUUGAAGAAUGGGAAAAUGUCGACCUGCAAUUGUGGCCAAACCGUCUCGUAAUGACGGCGUAUCGUCGAAUAGAGCGCUAGACGGAAAAGAGGGUUGGGGAUGAGGUCCCUCAGUUAUAGGGUUUGUGGCAUGCGAGAGCUUCAGCUGUGAACUCGUAUGAAAGCUCCUCCAAUUACGUUAAUGGCAUGGAAAGGCUAAAGUGACACUCAAGAAACUUGCUGGAUCAGAAGGGAAGGGGACGUGGUUGAUGUGCAAGAGCUCUUUGGAUACAUUGGCCUCAUCAAUCUUUAUGAUUUUCAAAUGGAGAGGACUCAUAAUAGCACAUGCUCUUGGGUAUUAUCUUACUUUCCUGGAGUUUCAUCUCUCACAGCAAUGUUUUCCGAUGCAGGGUGGCCGCGGAAUGCCAUGGGACUGAAUCUUCUGUUGAGUUUUCAGACUCGCAAUCCAUUGGGGAAGUUGUGCUGCUAAAUGACUUUGUGAUGGAGGAGUGCUCUUUCAGAUUAUUUUUGGCAUGUAAUAUAUCUGCACAAUAUUUUUGUGGAAAAUUUUAUGUAAAAUUACUAAGUAAGGACCAUUUGAUGUUCCUUUUCAAACGGAUGGAGAUUCCCAAAACUAUGUUGUGUUUUGGAGAAAAUAAAACUUCUUCGUAGAGGUGUAUAGAGGACUGCAGAUUUAUAUAGUAGCGGCGGAAAAAAGCUCACGAAUGCCACUUACAUGAUGAUUUUGUCACGAAAGGUGAUAAACCGUCACAACAUAUGUAAAUCUGUCAUCUUAGAUAAGACUGCCUACUUUCUUCUACUAAUUGAAUUGUUACUCCUGUUUUACUUUGCCA
Prunus persica (peach) is the source of this 955-nucleotide long non-coding RNA. RefSeq lists it as uncharacterized. The record is from RefSeq and is a predicted model, not a curated record. The transcript has 2 exons. Lineage: Eukaryota; Viridiplantae; Streptophyta; Magnoliopsida; Rosales; Rosaceae.